Long non-coding RNA from Piliocolobus tephrosceles (Ugandan red Colobus), 1893 nucleotides. RefSeq lists it as uncharacterized. Lineage: Eukaryota; Metazoa; Chordata; Mammalia; Primates; Cercopithecidae. The transcript has 4 exons. The record is from RefSeq and is a predicted model, not a curated record.
ACUAAUUACAUUCCCAACUGUAGAAUAUAAGAUUCCUGUUGCUUGACUUUCUUGCCAAUACUUUGAUAUUUUCAAGUAUCGAAAUCUGGUAGCCAUUUUUCACCCAGUAGAAUUGCCCUCACUUUUAAGGCUUACUGGUACAAGUUCUUAAAGACUGAAAAGGAGUUCUCAGAAACAAAUCAAACCUCUUUUUAUGUGGGCUUCUCGUUUCUCCUUGGGGUCAGACACUUAACAAGCUGUUCAUAAUAUGCCAUGCUGGGCCUAAUGUUCAGCCCUUAGAAGAAAAGGCCGUAUCAGCUGAGACAAGUGAACAGCAGACAGAGUUAGGAAUUAGGAAGCUUGGGCUCUAACCUGCUUCUGUCACUGAAGCUUUGCAGGGCCCACGUAUGAGUCAUGUCCCCUCUCCGCAUCCUAUCUGCUCACUAGGCAUAACAGAACUGACCUUCCUCCCAGCCCCGCCGUGAGGAUGAAAUCCUGUGUGGAGCACUUUGAAAUCCUUGGAUGAAAAGCACGACAGAAGUGCCAAGUAUGAUUGUUACCCGUGCCAGCCACACUAGAAGACAGCAUAAAAAUAGGAAGCAAAGAAAAUUUCAUUUUACAAAAGCUUCAGUGAGAAAAUUGGCUGGUCAGAAUGUCAUUCCCUGGUUUUGGUUCACAUACACGUUGUCUUUUAUAAAAUUAAAAGAAAAAAAUAAUUGUACACAUUUUUAACUUUGCCGGGAAGAAGCCCUGUGAUCACCACCAUCCCUGUGACGCCAGGAAUCGAAGCCAUAAAGUCUGAGGGGAUGUUACAGGUUGAGGAUUAGGGAGUGUCUAAACCUUGACGUCGUCACAACACAGGAUCCGAGAUACCUCUGGCUGAAACGGAGACUGUGCUUUCAGAACUGGCCCAGCACCCAGUCUCUACUCCAAUGCUCUCAGGAUCCUGCCCUUAAUAGGAGAACAUGAGAGUUGCAGAUUUAAAAACCCAAGAGGAAACCUUUGCAACAACCUUUGUCAUAUUAGGAAUCCCAAAAUAAGGAGAUAUGGAAAUGUCAUGUAUUUUACCUGGAAAUCCUGUUACUGUGCCCAUUUUUGGAGCUGAGAAAACUAAAGGGCGGAGCCUACUAGCUAAGAGAAGACAAUCUCCAGGAAACUACUGCUUCAUUUAUUUGACACUGGGCAGAAGUUUCGGUGAGAAAUCAGCAAGAUCAUAGCCUGGAGUGAACACUGGAGGCAGGAGAUGUCCUUGAGAAAGAGGCUACAACAGAGGGUGGAACACCUCUUCCAUUAAAGCGGCUGUUUUCCAGAGUUUCUGAAAAGCUCCCUCCUUUGUCAUGGUGGUGGUGGGGAAGGGCAGGCUGGGACCCUAAUGCAUGACUUUCCACCUGGGUGUUACUGGCAUCUGAUGUCCUAAUCAUAUUUCCCUGUCACCUCUCAGUGCUGAUUUACUUUCUCCUCCCAUUCUACAUGCUGCAGAACUAAUUGCCUGCCUAAUUGCCAAAACUAAUUGCUGUGACAUUCAUUGUUCAUCUGCUCCUUUCUCCGGCUUCAGCUCAGGCAGGUGGCUCCCAUGAAGGCAAGGGUGGAAUUAUUCCUGCUUUGGGGCCAGGAUGCUUCAGAGUGAUGGCCCAACAAUUAUCUUCCUCAUGGAGGCGGACCAAGGAAUCACCUUCCUCACUGAACAGAGGACAAUAAUUCUUGGCAGGGGUUCACCUUCUUCUGGUGUGAGAUUGGGUAGCUUUGACAGAUUGUAAGUCAAUUAAAUUGUACUUUUCAGGGAGUUCCUCUCUCCCAUUUAGAGAUUAGGAUUAGAUUUGUUCAUUAGGAAAUUGACCCAGAGAAGUGAGACAGCUACUUGCUGGCCACAUAGCUCAUUCAUGGCGAAGUUGAAACUGGGGCUCAGAUAUCCCA